RNAcentral lists this ribosomal RNA (253 nucleotides) under uncultured bacterium. RNAcentral describes it as "partial 16S ribosomal RNA". It matches the Rfam family "Bacterial small subunit ribosomal RNA", at positions 524 to 776 of the family's 1533-position model. The record is from RNAcentral.
GACGUAGGGCGCGAGCGUUGUCCGGAUUUCUUGGGCGUAAAGAGCUCGUAGGCGGCUUGUCGCGUCGACUGUGAAAACCCGCGGCUCAACUGCGGGCCUGCAGCCGAUACGGGCAGGCUAGAGUUCGGUAGGGGAGACUGGAAUUCCUGGUGUAGCGGUGAAAUGCGCAGAUAUCAGGAAGAACACCUAUGGCGAAGGCAGCUCUCUGGGACGGUACUGACGCUGAGACGCGAAAGCGUGGGGAGCGAACAGG